This 200-nucleotide unclassified non-coding RNA is filed under the name Pleosporales sp. RNAcentral's name for it is "partial internal transcribed spacer 2". Lineage: Eukaryota; Fungi; Ascomycota; Dothideomycetes; Pleosporales. The record is from RNAcentral.
UUAAGUUCAGCGGGUAUCCCUACCUGAUCCGAGGUCAAACGUUGAAAUAAGCUUUGUGGACGCCGGCACCUGGGGCUGGGAACGCAAAAUGUGCUGCGCUCCAACAACCCCAUGGCUGGCUGCCAAUGCAUUUGAAGCGAGUCCGCACAUGCGCAGACAACGCCCAACACCAAGCAAGGCUUGAAGGCUUAAAUGACGCU